Arthrobotrys musiformis is the source of this 94-nucleotide non-coding RNA. Lineage: Eukaryota; Fungi; Ascomycota; Orbiliomycetes; Orbiliales; Orbiliaceae. The record is from the annotation of a GenBank genome assembly.
GGUUUCAUGGUGUAGUUGGUUAUCACGCGACCUUAACAAUUUCUCUUGAGAAUUUGAACGGUCGAGGUCUUGAGUUCGAUCCUCAAUGAAAUCA